Molecule: ribosomal RNA, 253 nt
Filed under: uncultured bacterium
Lineage: Bacteria
Description: partial 16S ribosomal RNA
Rfam family: Bacterial small subunit ribosomal RNA
Source: RNAcentral
UACGUAGGGGGCGAGCGUUGUCCGGAGUUACUGGGCGUAAAGCGCACGCAGGCGGUCUGUUAAGUUUGGAGUAACAGUUGGUGGCUUAACUGCCAAAGUGCUUCGAAAACUGACAGACUUGAGGGCUUCAGAGGGACACGGAAUUCCGGGUGGAGUGGUGAAAUGCGUAGAGAUCCGGAGGAACACCAAAGGCGAAGGCAGUGUCCUGGGGAGUACCUGACGCUCAGGUGCGAAAGCCAGGGGAGCGAACGGG